GGUAGCACCCCGCUGAGUAACGGGUAUCAUAUAGUCGAGAAACUCGACUACAGCGUUCUCUCUUGUUUUUAGCUGGAACCCUGAUCCCGGCGCUAUUUGAACGGACAUGAAUUUGGCCCAGGUUGGCCAACUACAUACAUACAUACAUGCAUGCAUACAUACAUAUGUAUGUAUAACUCAGCUUGCUUGCUUUCAUCUACUAAAUAAUCCCGAAACGCGCAGCUGGACACUGUAUUGUUCCCAGUGCAGAUCUGCUCUUCCCCCGCCCCCCGGCGGCCCCCACAAAUUGGUGGUAAUGAACAUUCUGCAGAGGAGGAACCGAUUCCCGCCUUUUUCCUUCCUUUUCCCUCUUCCAAUCUCGCGCCGCUUCCCCCGCCACGCCCCGCAUGCAGCCUGCACUUACGCAUAAUCUCCGCUAUCUUCAUUUUUAGGACUUCUUGCGAAACAAAAGCUUCUCGUGGAAGGAUUCUUCUAUUUGCAGUACUCACGCAGUAUUCACGAAGUAUUCAUCAGCAUUCCCCACUCUGUGCCAACAAUUCAUUUGGUUAUUGCAUCCGUGUGGCGCCCUGGGGAUUGCGUGCUUUUGAGUCAUCCUUCUCCCUGCAGCUUCUGUUUUCUGUUUCCAGCUUCCGACCCGUGAUUACCUCUCUUUGUGAGCUUGGCUUGGCUGCUCAUCCGGAGUGGGAGUCCUGGUCUCUGGGCGCCCUUCACAUCCAUGGCCCGGAUGGAUGGAUGGAGUCCUUCUUACCUGUCCAAUUGGGUCGGAAGGCCUUCUCACGCGGACCCGUCAAACGCUCUGUUAUCACUUAAUGAACGCCCAGCUCCUAUUUCCUUCGCAGUUCUUAUCUUAAGUGAAGAAGGUCCACUCUCGGCCGCAGUGUAGACACUGAGAGAAACUGCGUAUGCAAUACGCAGCACAUGCUGCAAGAAGGCACUCUCCACAGGAGUGGGAAGAUAGUUCUGUGAGUAUUUCGCUUCAUUUCCCUGUUAACAUAAAAGGCCUAGAAAAGUGGCAACUAUUUCCCGCAGUGAACCAGCAGAGCCAGUAAAUGCAGCGCCAAUCGUGGAUCCAUCUACUAAUUAAUUGACUCUUUGUGUUCCUCUUAUUUUGCCUUCCCAUGUCUCAGAGCCUUCACCUGAGUGGACGUCUGGGCCAGAUGUCCGUAUCCGUAUCCAGCUAGAUAGCUGGAUGGAUAGCUGGAUUGGUCGGUCGGUCGUCCGAGUCAUCCGCGCCAGUCGCGCAUCUCAUCUCUGGCGGCGCUUUCGUUUCAUUAAAAGCCUGUUUCAAUUUUCUGCACUUUAGUGCCUGAUGCACUUUGGCAUAUCGAGGGAUAUGCUCCUCCCCGCUCCUCUCCCUUCGCUCCUCCCAGUUCUUUUUUUCUUUUCUUGUUUUUGAGCCAUUUUUCCUGUGGCUCUGCGGUUCUGGCCGCCUUCCUUCGGCUUUCGGCUUUCGGCUUUUGGAUUUGGGACCGGCUUUGUGGUCCGACAACAUAUAUUUGCACUUUGUCUGUCCCAUGACGGAGAAGCUCCGCUCCUCGUACUCGGCUCUUCUGCCAUCUUCAGUGCGCGAUGCUUAACCCAUGAGAGCCCAAGCAUUAAGUGCUAAGUAUUAUUUCGCAGAACAUAAAUAUUAUAACUUCGGCGCUUGAAAUAGAAUUCUUUCUCCUCGAUGCGAAUUUAAGUAAUGCCUUCUUUUUUGGACUUGGGCAGUUGUGGAACCAUGGCAUGCCAUGGGUUAAAAUGGAGAACGAGAGUGCAGAUAAUUUUGACAUUUAGUCCCUUAUCUGCAGUUCGCGUCGCUUGAAAAUGGAAAUUCUGAGGAACCCCUCGUCCGCCUGCGGAUUUGUAUCGCUGUGAGGUCGCUGCAUUGGCACCCAGACGGGCGGCUGGCAAUCGAAGGGGGGAUUCCUAUUGAGGAAUCCUCCGUAGCUCUUCAUCUCCUCUUGGCGGGCAACUUUAUUAGCAGCCGGCGCGUCUCACAUCUUUCGCCGACUGCGCCUGGUCCGCCUGCUUCCAUCCCUGCCUCCUUCCGCCAGGAUAUGGCAAAUUAUCUCUGUCUAGAGAACGCCCUCGCUGGAAUCGCAUCCUCGCAGAGGGCAGAUCGAGUGCUUUGUCACUGCGGCGUGCCAUCUUUUCGCAUUUCAGAUCUGCGAUUUUGAUGUUUUAUUAUCUGGCUUACAGCUCCUUCGACUUCGACUGCUGAGUGAUUUGCGCACAUCAACGAGACCCAAUAGGCAAAUGCACCGAAUGAGCUUGGAACAGGUGGGCACCAAGUACGUGUACUUGGUACUUGCCCACUUCUUUCGGCCGAAGAUUUAUUUGGCUGGCGUAACAGGAGACGUAGGUUAAUCCCAAGUAGCUCCCUCGGCAGGCACCCCACCCCCUCCCUUCGUUCGGGGAGUAACUUUAGAUUGCUGUAGUCUGCAGUCUGAGCCGCGGUAAUUCACACGAAUGAUUCCUGGCAUUGUAAUUAUCGCAUUACUCGUAUGGCUUCUGCCAGGCGAAAACAAAGUGAAAUGCGGCAAAACCAAAGAGUUGGCCAGCAGAGUGCCGCUGGGUGUCGCCGCGCGGAUUGAAUUGCAGGCGGGCGCCAGCCGCCCAUUCUUCUUCUACCUGGCUGCACGGGAAGAAAUCUAUUGAUUUGGCCACAACUAUAUCCAUUGCAAGCCCACUUACGUUUCUCCAUCACUUUUUCUAUGAACCCCUCCUCCCCGCGCCUGCCCCUCCGCAAGUAUCCGCAAGCUGAGCGACCGAGGAGAUAAACAAAAUAAAUAUUGACGCGCGUCCAAUUCGCAAGAGGAGAGCCAAAAGCAAGGCAAACAGCUCGGAAAGGAGCAGCGGAAAGGGGGGAAGGGGGACGAGCAGAGCAAACAUCGUGACUUGGAGCGGCGGCGAAACAUCAAGCACACUGAAUAAAGUACUCAAAACGUAUUUAAAAGUACUAAGCACAAGUACCGCAGAUUAA
Long non-coding RNA from Drosophila yakuba, 2965 nucleotides. RefSeq lists it as uncharacterized. Lineage: Eukaryota; Metazoa; Arthropoda; Insecta; Diptera; Drosophilidae. The transcript is spliced from 2 exons. The record is from RefSeq and is a predicted model, not a curated record.